AUUUGGCGUCGGCGUAAUUUAUAAUUCCUCAUCUGUUCUUGCUUCGAGUCAUCAUUUAUCGAACUUCUUUUGUCUUCCAUCUCGCUUGAUGUCGGUAUUGUUUGAAGGUUCCUGAUCGUCGCUGUAUUGAUUUGCCCUUGGGGACUGGAGAUUUUCGACAAGGGUUUUCUUCCUCAUUGAGAUGAGGUCCCUUGAGUCUCGGCCUUCAAAGGCUUCG
RNAcentral lists this long non-coding RNA (217 nucleotides) under Elaeis guineensis (African oil palm). RNAcentral's name for it is "long non-coding RNA (EGUI_LNC078055)". The record is from RNAcentral. Lineage: Eukaryota; Viridiplantae; Streptophyta; Magnoliopsida; Arecales; Arecaceae.